This 497-nucleotide ribosomal RNA is filed under the name uncultured bacterium. RNAcentral's name for it is "partial 16S ribosomal RNA". It matches the Rfam family "Bacterial small subunit ribosomal RNA", at positions 28 to 507 of the family's 1533-position model. The record is from RNAcentral.
GAUGAACGCUGGCGGCGUGCCUAAUACAUGCAAGUCGAGCGAGCAGACGAGGAGCUUGCUCCUCUGACGUUAGCGGCGGACGGGUGAGUAACACGUGGAUAACCUACCUAUAAGACUGGGAUAACUUCGGGAAACCGGAGCUAAUACCGGAUAAUAUAUUGAACCGCAUGGUUCAAUAGUGAAAGACGGUUUUGCUGUCACUUAUAGAUGGAUCCGCGCCGCAUUAGCUAGUUGGUAAGGUAACGGCUUACCAAGGCAACGAUGCGUAGCCGACCUGAGAGGGUGAUCGGCCACACUGGAACUGAGACACGGUCCAGACUCCUACGGGAGGCAGCAGUAGGGAAUCUUCCGCAAUGGGCGAAAGCCUGACGGAGCAACGCCGCGUGAGUGAUGAAGGUCUUCGGAUCGUAAAACUCUGUUAUUAGGGAAGAACAAAUGUGUAAGUAACUAUGCACGUCUUGACGGUACCUAAACAGAAAGCCACGGCUAACUACGUG